Molecule: non-coding RNA, 26 nt
Filed under: Mus musculus (house mouse)
Lineage: Eukaryota; Metazoa; Chordata; Mammalia; Rodentia; Muridae
Source: RNAcentral
UAGGAGGCACUUAGGCCGUAUGUCCA